This 616-nucleotide ribosomal RNA is filed under the name uncultured bacterium. RNAcentral describes it as "bacterial SSU rRNA". It matches the Rfam family "Bacterial small subunit ribosomal RNA", at positions 338 to 947 of the family's 1533-position model. The record is from RNAcentral.
CCUACGGGAGGCAGCAGUGGGGAAUUUUGGACAAUGGACGAAAGUCUGAUCCAGCAAUGCCGCGUGCAGGACGAAGGCCUUCGGGUUGUAAACUGCUUUUGUACGGAACGAAAAAGUCUGCCUUAAUACGGUGGGCUCAUGACGGUACCGUAAGAAUAAGCACCGGCUAACUACGUGCCAGCAGCCGCGGUAAUACGUAGGGUGCGAGCGUUAAUCGGAAUUACUGGGCGUAAAGCGUGCGCAGGCGGUUAUAUAAGUCAGAUGUGAAAUCCCCGGGCUUAACCUGGGACCUGCAUUUGAGACUGUAUAGCUAGAGUACGGUAGAGGGGGAUGGAAUUCCGCGUGUAGCAGUGAAAUGCGUAGAUAUGCGGAGGAACACCGAUGGCGAAGGCAAUCCCCUGGACCUGUACUGACGCUCAUGCACGAAAGCGUGGGGAGCAAACAGGAUUAGAUACCCUGGUAGUCCACGCCCUAAACGAUGUCAACUGGUUGUUGGGUCUUCACUGACUCAGUAACGAAGCUAACGCGUGAAGUUGACCGCCUGGGGAGUACGGCCGCAAGGUUGAAACUUAAAGGAAUUGACGGCUGAGAGNGCGAGACGACGACGAGGGAGAGG